ACAUGAGAUGCUCUCUUCAGUCCGGGGCUUGGUUGAACGGACUCACCAGGAAACGUGACUUUCGUGUCCGACCUCUGCUGUAUCAGGAUUCGAUUCUUGGUGUUAAACAAGACAACGCUGAAGGCUCGGUGCAGCAGCCCUGCAAAGCUUUGUGUCUUAGGUUUCAGCGUGCUGACGUUCUCUGGGCCCUGAAGUCACUGCUGCUGGCUGGUGUGCUGGCCACUUGGUCGUGCUGGCCUGUCUCCCACCGGGUGGAUGCCCAGCGAGCUCUGGAUGCUGUGUUUUUCCAGCGCUCUUGGGAGGUGGGCUGUGCCACUGCCUGGCCCACCUGGCCCACCUGGCCCACCAUUACCUGAAGGGAAGCAUGAACAGCCUUUGACGUGGGAGUGGCGACUGCUGAGAGGGAACUGUCUGUACACAAGCAAUGUAGCCUUAUGGGACCUGAGUGGAGCCCCAACCCACGCAGGGCGUGUCUUCAUGGCUUUUCCUGGCCAAUCUGAUACCAAGAUGCAGUGGCCAGAAGUACCUGCACUUCCACUCCUGUCAAGUCUCUGCAUGGCUAUGGUGAGGAAGAGCUCUGCACUGGGCAAGGAAGUUGGCCGUCGAGUGAAGGAAAUGGUGAUGCUGGUGGCCCCUUUCCGGCAGUCAAGUUCCCUAUCAAGGACAUUCAGUUCUCGGAAAGUGGUGAAGGCACAUGCUUCCCUGCAUGGUGCCCGCCUCUCUCCACUCUCUAGAAAUAUUAGAGGCUAGGCUGCUGCUGUAUGUCAGGGCUAGUCCCUCUUCUAUGAAUCCAGAAUAACUCUGAAGAAGCCGAGUAACAGGCAUGAAGUGAAGAGAAAUCGCUGUAACAGGAAGACAGCAAAGCAGAUGCUAAUGACCACACUAUUUAACGAACUGGAACCAACGAGAAAAUACGGUAUUACUGAAGACUGCACUUCCUUGAACAGAGUGCUCUUCUCAGCAAAUCGGAAAUGCCUACACAAAUCGCUUUACAAGAAAGACUGUUUCAAAGCAGCACCUUUCUCAAUGUUCUCGUUCAGGUGACAAUUCUUCUUGGUCUCAGCUCCAAUUUUAUUGUCAUUUUCAUCAAUAAGGAUACACAUCUCUGCCAGGAGUUGAACCUGUUGCUUGUCGAGGUGGUUAGUGUUUAUUUCAGGCAUCAUUACAAAAUGUCUGAUCUGUUCUAGAACACUAAUAUUAAAGGAAAAGAGAAAGAAAGGCAAAAAAAAAAAAAAAAAAA
RNAcentral lists this long non-coding RNA (1240 nucleotides) under Homo sapiens (human). RNAcentral describes it as "IDI2 antisense RNA 1, transcript variant 3 (IDI2-AS1)". The record is from RNAcentral. Lineage: Eukaryota; Metazoa; Chordata; Mammalia; Primates; Hominidae.